Molecule: small nuclear RNA, 120 nt
Organism: Polyodon spathula (Mississippi paddlefish)
Lineage: Eukaryota; Metazoa; Chordata; Actinopteri; Acipenseriformes; Polyodontidae
Product: U5 spliceosomal RNA
Exons: 1
Source: RefSeq, a predicted model, not a curated record
AGACUCUGGCUUCUCCACAGCUCGAAUAAAUCUUUUUUUUUUCACUAAAGAUUUCCGUGGAGAGGAGCAUUUACGAGUGCGAUCCAAUUUUUGGACAGCCCUUACCCUCUGGGAGGGGCU